CCAAGAGUUUGGAAUCAAAAUUAGCGAGAAGCUUGCUCAAGCACGCAUCCUACCUGCACCCUGGGUACUUUUUUUUAAUAUCAAGAUCAACUUAUUAAAUUUUAGAAAUUUAGGUAUUGUUUUUCUAAUUAAUAACCAUUGAUUUUGUUUUCUUCAGCUCAAAUAUCAUGAUACAGGUAGAGAGAGGAUUGUCUUCCUCAAGUUGGGUAGUGGAAUAUGAUGAAUAACGUACUUGUUUGGUGCCUUUUUGUGUGGUGGUUAUGUACAUUAUACAAUGAUAAUAUAGAAUGUGUGGUUUUUCUUUCUUGAACGGUUUGAAGGUGUGAGCUGUAGUGGGUUGGUUUUUAAGUUUUCGUUAGAGUUUGUAAGUUUGAGUAAGGUUCUAUUUGAAUGUAUCAUGUUCAAAUACAUGCAUGGUGACGAGGUGUUUGUCUUUGGAAUGACUUUAUGAAGGAUAGAAAAUGUCUGGCUUAUGGCUCGCAAUCUGAUUAUUUGUUGACUUUCAUUUGAUGAAUAAUAACAAAUUUCUAUUUCUUUCAGAAAAUGGUUAAUGGGGGUACUGUUAACCAUUGGUUCUGCAUCAAUUUUUCAAGGAGUGUUCAGGAUAGCGUUGCCCGUGGCUUUUGCUAUGAACUUUUGCUCAGAUGUGUUAUAUAUUUGGCAUGGUUUGUAUAUAUUCCUUUUAAUGAAAUUGUUUUGAAUGCAGUGUUUUGAUUAUUUGCUCAUUGUUAUUUUACCUGACAAUGAUGGAUCUCUUUAUGGUGAUCUCAAACGUAUAUGUGAGACAGAUCUUGGACUAGUUUCACAAUGUUGUUUGACUAAGCACGUCUU
Vigna umbellata (rice bean) is the source of this 831-nucleotide non-coding RNA. Lineage: Eukaryota; Viridiplantae; Streptophyta; Magnoliopsida; Fabales; Fabaceae. The record is from RefSeq and is a predicted model, not a curated record.